AAUGAAAAAUAGUAGCAGCUGUUUCAGUAAAAAAUUCUAAGGGUUAACAUAACAUGAUGUAAACUAUUUCAUGUGUUCUUCCUACUUGCCCAUUUUAAUCAGAAAUGAGUAAGAAGAGCCUUAUAUGCAGUGAACUUGAGGAAUGCUAAUGGGAUGUCUGCAUCGCGUUGUACUCGGAGUACUUAUGCCAGAAUAGGAAAGCCUUUUAUUCUGUAAUUCUCUGAGGCAAGAAGGAGGCUUUCUGAAGAGUUACUUUAAAUUUAAACUCUCAUUCUAAUGUUAGACAGCCUGUUGGAUCUCUGAGUUAAAAAUUGCUUCGGCUUUAGUUACUAGAGCCAGAUGUAACAUUGACCUUAAAUGGUAAAAGCUCCCAAGAGUGAAAGAGAGGCUGGCCUGAGGGGAAAAAGAGGAAUAACUGAAGUUUUAGGUAAGUAAUCUCUAUAACGGAGAAUAAGCUCUUUUUCAGCCGUGAAACAGAACGGAACCAUAUUUCCUCCUUAAAGGAAGCUCCUGCCUACAGCAUUCCAACCAUCAGCCUACUGAAUUUUCACUGCCCUUCCUUCACAGGGCACUCUGCUGACCAUGAGAGUUCCAGACCUUAAAUUCCUCUGAUAGAUUAUUGAAAACCAUCAAGUUUUAUGUGUUCCUGAGCUAUACGGAAAACAGGAAGCAGAAAAGACGAUUCUUUCCUGUCAUGCUGCUCUGUAAAGCCCAGUCCUAUAUGGGUAGCUUGUAGUCCUGAGGAAGCUGUACCUACUGAGUUUGAAACAGAAGUUUUUUAGCAGCUGGUGGACGUUUGCUGUAUUCUUCUUAUGCUUUUGUUAGUUUCUUCCUUUAAAAUAUUUUU
RNAcentral lists this long non-coding RNA (847 nucleotides) under Calidris pugnax (ruff). Its description in RNAcentral is "lncRNA (ENSCPUG00000014705.1)". The record is from RNAcentral. Lineage: Eukaryota; Metazoa; Chordata; Aves; Charadriiformes; Scolopacidae.